AGCAGAGGCCGCCACCAAUCAUGUUGUGUUGUGGAAAGUCAUCACUGGCCUUUUAUUUAAUUUUUUUGUGUACGUUAAUCUAAAUUUGAGAAUAAUAAUUUUUGGAUUGGGCUCCUAUGAAGACGAUAUAGUUUUGCCAAGUUUUAAUGAAUUUACUCAACCCAACUGAGAUUUAAAGUGAUCUUUCAAAAGUGAAAUUAAGGUUUACAGAAUAAAGAAGCAAAGCCUGAG
Molecule: long non-coding RNA, 231 nt
Organism: Limulus polyphemus (Atlantic horseshoe crab)
Lineage: Eukaryota; Metazoa; Arthropoda; Merostomata; Xiphosura; Limulidae
Exons: 2
Source: RefSeq, a predicted model, not a curated record